Brachypodium distachyon (stiff brome) is the source of this 2107-nucleotide long non-coding RNA. RefSeq lists it as uncharacterized. The record is from RefSeq and is a predicted model, not a curated record. NCBI's taxonomy places the organism in Eukaryota, Viridiplantae, Streptophyta, Magnoliopsida, Poales, Poaceae. The transcript is spliced from 2 exons.
CGGAAGAACACGUCGAGGUCAGAGGAGAAGGAAGGAAUGAAGAGGCAACACCGCUGAUCUGCAAAAUCGCUCGCGAUCUUUGCUGAAGCUCUACGGCGUGACAACAACUCUGACCCAUUCUUCAACCUCGUUUCACUACAACAAGCUUAUUCUAUCGAUUAGCUGCAGUAAUCUGUCCCUUCCUUUGUUCAUGUGCUUGGUGAUGAAGUCUACAUCUCUACCCAAUUCUUACUUGUUGCUGUAAUCUCACUCUAUUUACGGUUCAGAUUAGUAGAACUAAUUAGUCUAUCUACUGUUAGUGUUUUUAUUUGCAAAAAUCUGAGAUCCACCCAAUCCUUUGUAGUUAGUUAAUCUUGUUGUCGAGUAUUCAGUUUGUUUUGCAUUAGAAAUCAGUGGAUCCUUUGCUUUGUGCUGUGAUCUUUCUGCCUGAGCAAAAACAAAAAAAAAUCAGUUACUGUUCACUAGAUUUUAGAGUUUAACUAGUGUUUUUAAUCUGUCCCAUUCUAGUUACUUUUCUCCUAUCCAAUACUUAGAUUUUUGCUUGAGAUCUUUGUUGAAUCUUGCUUUUAGUUUUGCUGUUCUCAUAAACAAAAUCACCAAAAAAAUAUUUUCUCUUUGUCAUCUUAAGUUUCAGAAUCUCUGACCCAUUCUUGCCAAACUUGCUUGUGUGAAUCGGUACUCUGUUUCAGUUUAGAGGCAUUUGAAUUUGGGCACCAAAAAUCAUUCUCUUUUGAUCUAGCUGUAAAAAACUGCUAAGAACUUGUAAUUUGGUCCCAGUGAAAAAACGACAACCCUAUACUUUCAGUGGAUCACAGCCGCCUGGACGGAGAAGAAAAAGCAGGGGAGGAAGACUGAGCCGUAGAAAAAGCAUCAGUUCCAUGAUUUUCCCCGUUGAAUAUUUUGCCAAGCUCCAAUGUUGAGGUCGUCUGAUAUGCACCUCAAAGGUAGAAAAAGCAUCAGUUCCAUGAUUUUCCCCGUUGAAUAUUUUGCUAAGCUCCAAUGUUGAGGUCGUCUGAUAUGCACCUCAAAGGAUAAGAGGGUCAGCUGAGCUACAUCACGGAUCAGAUAAAAGAAAUGGGACGACGUGAUUCAUUGCGGUGCAGCACGAAGUUAAUGUCUAGUCUAGUUUAGUGUGUCUUCGUGCUGCACGCCAGCACGUGAACCUCAAACAAUCGUAAAUAAUACAUGCCGCGCCCCGCGCGCGUGGGUGUUCUUUUUUUAACGCUGUUUUCUGAUUUUCUGAGAUAAAGGAUGAUAGAAUUUUUGAAGCUGGAGAGAUGCUGACGCGUGGGAAGGACGAAGGCAAGUCUGUAUUUUUUUCUUCUUCUGAUUAGGCCGUCCCAUUUCUGAUUAUGUACUGUUUUAGGUAUUUAAAUCUAUUAUCUGAAUUUGCUAGCGCACAGGUGCCUUUUUUUUUUGAAAAUCAGUUGAACCGAUCAUGCUUUAAGAUCUGUGAAAAUUUGGUCGCCUUUCUUUUUUUUUUCUUUUUGUGUCGAGCCUCUUUUCUUUCUGUUAUCUCUUUCCAGAGGGCUCGGCCGACGCCUCGACCUCGUGUUCUGGAAAUGAGGGGUUCCAGCCUCCCACCUCGUUCGAGUCGCCUUCUGGUUCUCUCGCGUGGGCGCAGCUGACGCUUCCUACAACCGCCCUGGUCUGACGUGGCGGCGAAGUCCGCCUCGUUGUCCUCGACGUCGCCAUCCUUCUCCGUCGUGUGUGGGGGCUGGGCGAGGGCGCGCGGGUGCCACAGAGGCACGCGCUGGUGUGCGUCGGUGAGGAGGACGGGUCCGUAGAGGCGGGGCGAAGUCAAGGAGGGCAAGGCAUCUUUAUUCACUUCGGCAUCUGCUUGUGCGAUGAGUGCUUCGUUUAUACCCUGACCGAAAUGGUUGUAUACUGUUGAUCUGGAAUGAUCGCUUCAUAGAAUUGGUACUUGAGGAAUUUAUACGUACUCAAAGUACUUAAGUAAAUAUUUAAGAAAUAGUGGUAUUGGAAUACAAUAUUAACAUACUAGAAAGAUCAUCUAGAUACAAUACCAAUCCGAAAAACCUAUGGUGAUUGUCAGGUUACAGCCCGAAGGAAAUGUACAAACGUAAUUAAAUUGUAUAUUUAAUUA